RNAcentral lists this ribosomal RNA (398 nucleotides) under uncultured bacterium. RNAcentral's name for it is "bacterial SSU rRNA". It matches the Rfam family "Bacterial small subunit ribosomal RNA", at positions 357 to 772 of the family's 1533-position model. The record is from RNAcentral.
GGGAAUCUUGGACAAUGGGCGCAAGCCUGAUCCAGCCAUGCCGCGUGAGUGAAGAAGGCCUUAGGGUUGUAAAACUCUUUCGCCGGAGAAGAUAAUGACGGUAUCCGGAGAAGAAGCCCCGGCUAACUCUGUGCCAGCAGCCGCGGUAAGACAGAGGAGCCAAGCGUUGUCCGGAUUGACUGGGCGUAAAGCGCACGCAGGUGGUCAUGCAAGUGUCGUGUGAAAGCAGCUCGCUCAACGAGCUGAGGCCAUGGCAGACUGCAUAACUCGAGCCCGUGAGAGGUCGGUGGAAUUGCCGGUGGAGUGGUGACAUACGUAGAUAUCGGCAGGAACACCCAAGGGGAAGCCAGCCGACUGGCACGGUGCUGACACUGAGGUGCGAGAGCGUGGGGAGCGAA